This 101-nucleotide ribosomal RNA is filed under the name uncultured bacterium. Its description in RNAcentral is "partial 16S ribosomal RNA". It matches the Rfam family "Bacterial small subunit ribosomal RNA", at positions 1398 to 1500 of the family's 1533-position model. The record is from RNAcentral.
CACACCAUGAGAGUUGGGAAUACCCGAAGCCUGUGAGCUAACUUUACGAGGCAGCGGUCGAAGGUAGAAUCAAUGAUUGGGUGAAGUCGUAACAAGGUAUC